RNAcentral lists this ribosomal RNA (939 nucleotides) under Fomitopsis serialis. Its description in RNAcentral is "LSU rRNA". It matches the Rfam family "Eukaryotic large subunit ribosomal RNA", at positions 35 to 960 of the family's 3401-position model. Lineage: Eukaryota; Fungi; Basidiomycota; Agaricomycetes; Polyporales; Fomitopsidaceae. The record is from RNAcentral.
UAAGCAUAUCAAUAAGCGGAGGAAAAGAAACUAACAAGGAUUCCCCUAGUAACUGCGAGUGAAGCGGGAAAAGCUCAAAUUUAAAAUCUGGCGGUCUUCGGCCGUCCGAGUUGUAGUCUGGAGAAGUGCUUUCCGCGCUGGACCGUGUACAAGUCUCUUGGAACAGAGCGUCAUAGAGGGUGAGAAUCCCGUCUUUGACACGGACUACCAGUGCUUUGUGAUGCGCUCUCAAAGAGUCGAGUUGUUUGGGAAUGCAGCUCAAAAUGGGUGGUAAAUUCCAUCUAAAGCUAAAUAUUGGCGAGAGACCGAUAGCGAACAAGUACCGUGAGGGAAAGAUGAAAAGCACUUUGGAAAGAGAGUUAAACAGUACGUGAAAUUGCUGAAAGGGAAACGAUUGAAGUCAGUCGCGUUAGCCAGGACUCAGCCUUGUUUUUACUUGGUGCAUUUUCUGGUUGACGGGCCAGCAUCGAUUUUGACCGCCGGAAAAAGAUUGGGGGAAUGUGGCACCUUCGGGUGUGUUAUAGCCCUCAGUCACAUACGGCGAUUGGGAUCGAGGACCGCAGCACGCCUUUAUGGCCGGGGUUCGCCCACGUUCGUGCUUAGGAUGCUGGCGUAAUGGCUUUAAACGACCCGUCUUGAAACACGGACCAAGGAGUCUAACAUGCCUGCGAGUGUUUGGGUGGAAAACCCGAGCGCGUAAUGAAAGUGAAAGUUGAGAUCCCUGUCGCGGGGAGCAUCGACGCCCGGACUUGAACUUCGGUGAUAGAUCUGCGGUAGAGCAUGUAUGUUGGGACCCGAAAGAUGGUGAACUAUGCCUGAAUAGGGUGAAGCCAGAGGAAACUCUGGUGGAGGCUCGUAGCGAUUCUGACGUGCAAAUCGAUCGUCAAAUUUGGGUAUAGGGGCGAAAGACUAAUCGAACCAUCUAGUAGCUGGUUCCUG